GACGAACCGUGCGAACGUUGUUCGGAUUCACUGGGCUUAAAGGGCGCGUAGGCGGGUUCUCAAGUCGGUGGUGAAAUCUUUCGGCCCAACCGGAAAAUCGCCUCCGAUACUGGGAGCCUCGAGGGGGGUAGGGGCAUGCGGAACUUCGGGUGGAGCGGUGAAAUGCGUAGAUAUCCGAAGGAACGCCGGUGGCGAAAGCGGCGUGCUGGACCCCUUCUGACGCUGAGGCGCGAAAGCCAGGGGAGCAAACGGG
Molecule: ribosomal RNA, 253 nt
Filed under: uncultured bacterium
Lineage: Bacteria
Description: partial 16S ribosomal RNA
Rfam family: Bacterial small subunit ribosomal RNA
Source: RNAcentral